GGUUGACCUCGGAUCAGGUUAUGGAUUA
This 28-nucleotide ribosomal RNA is filed under the name fungal endophyte sp. AP402. RNAcentral's name for it is "partial 28S ribosomal RNA". The record is from RNAcentral. Lineage: Eukaryota; Fungi.